GGGCGCUGUGCUGCGGGCUGCGCUGGUGGGGGGCGGCGGGCCGCGGUGCGGGCCGGGGCCCGGCGCGUGCUGCUGGGAGGCGCUGUGGGGGGCGGGCGCGCGGGCGGCGGCCGGGGCCAUGGCCGAGGUCGGCGGGAGCGCGCGGAGGAGGGCGCCAGCGCUGCUCGAGGCGGCCCGCGCGCCCUACGAGAGCCUGCACAUCUGGGUCGACGUGUUCGGCGAGUCCGGCCCCGACAGCGGCGGGAACCCCUUCUAAAGCACGUCCGCCGCCUCGCGCUCCUCCUCGGCCGCCUCCUCGGACGACGAACACGAGCGCCCUGGCCCCCCCGCCGCCUCCCGUCGCCACCGAAGCGCAGGAGUCCGACGAGGACGGGGCCAGCGCGGGUUGGAGUGCCACGCUGCGGGACCGCCCGCCCCCGCGCUUCGAGGACACUGGCGGAUCACUUGCUCAGAGCAGAGAAGAGUGAGAGGACCAGUUAGGAGCGUUAAGCUGUCUGCUCUCUCUCCAGACGGCACUUGUGUGUUCUGCUUACCGACACGGUCAUGGUCAAGCCCCUGAUAUCUGGAGGUCGCAGGCCUGCUGGCAGUUGUGGCUGCUUGAAGUCCUCCUUUACUGCCUUCUUUUUGGGAAGAUGUGUGGAGGGCCAUGGCUGACUUGGAUGCAGUUGGGGUCAUCUCACGGCACAUGGAAUACACAAUUUAUCUUGCUUCCUGUCUUGAUAAUGACAUCUUGGUUUUCAUGCUGUCUUAGAACAAGUAGAACUUGACUUACAUGUAAGUUGUGAAUUCACGUACUUU
Molecule: long non-coding RNA, 798 nt
Organism: Mustela lutreola (European mink)
Lineage: Eukaryota; Metazoa; Chordata; Mammalia; Carnivora; Mustelidae
Exons: 3
Source: RefSeq, a predicted model, not a curated record